UAAGUUAAAAUGGUAGCACUUUCUCCCACC
This 30-nucleotide non-coding RNA is filed under the name Mus musculus (house mouse). The record is from RNAcentral. Lineage: Eukaryota; Metazoa; Chordata; Mammalia; Rodentia; Muridae.